Molecule: ribosomal RNA, 279 nt
Filed under: uncultured bacterium
Lineage: Bacteria
Description: partial 16S ribosomal RNA
Rfam family: Bacterial small subunit ribosomal RNA
Source: RNAcentral
UGCCAGCAGCCGCGGUAAUACGGAGGGUGCAAGCGUUGCUCGGAAUUACUGGGCGUAAAGCGCACGCAGGCGGUCUAUCAGGUCGGAUGUGAAAGCCCAGGGCUCAACCCUGGGACUGCAUUCGAAACCGGUAGACUUGAGUUCGAGAGAGGGUGGUGGAAUUCCUGGUGUAGAGGUGAAAUUCGUUGAUAUCAGGAGGAACACCGGUGGCGAAGGCGACCACCUGGCUCGAUACUGACGCUCAUGUGCGAAAGCGUGGGGAGCAAACAGGAUUAGAUA